Anneissia japonica is the source of this 73-nucleotide small nucleolar RNA. RefSeq annotates it as small nucleolar RNA SNORD83. The transcript has a single exon. Lineage: Eukaryota; Metazoa; Echinodermata; Crinoidea; Comatulida; Comatulidae. The record is from RefSeq and is a predicted model, not a curated record.
GCCACAUGAUGUUUUAUAGAUAAAUGAAAUAUUUUUAAGAUUACUUGUUAUCUAUCACCCUUGACUGAUGGCA